Molecule: non-coding RNA, 67 nt
Organism: Trichonephila clavipes
Lineage: Eukaryota; Metazoa; Arthropoda; Arachnida; Araneae; Nephilidae
Source: the annotation of a GenBank genome assembly
GUGGUCUAGUGGUAAGACACGCUGACUUCAAGUGAAUGGCUCCGGGUUCGAUUCCCGGGAGCUCGCA